UCAGAAAAUAGUUUAAAUAAAAAAUGAUAACUUUGGGAGUUAUUGAUGUGAGUGUAAUUCUUGUUUUUCUGAA
This 73-nucleotide transfer RNA is filed under the name Paulasterias sp. SS-2022. RNAcentral describes it as "tRNA-Pro". It matches the Rfam family "tRNA". From Rfam's summary of the family: Transfer RNA (tRNA) molecules are approximately 80 nucleotides in length. The record is from RNAcentral. Lineage: Eukaryota; Metazoa; Echinodermata; Asteroidea; Forcipulatida; Paulasteriidae.